Molecule: ribosomal RNA, 253 nt
Filed under: uncultured bacterium
Lineage: Bacteria
Description: partial 16S ribosomal RNA
Rfam family: Bacterial small subunit ribosomal RNA
Source: RNAcentral
UACGAAGGGGGCUAGCGUUGCUCGGAAUUACUGGGCGUAAAGGGAGCGUAGGCGGACAUUUAAGUCAGGGGUGAAAUCCCAGAGCUCAACUCUGGAACUGCCUUUGAUACUGGGUGUCUUGAGUGUGAUAGAGGUAUGUGGAACUCCGAGUGUAGAGGUGAAAUUCGUAGAUAUUCGGAAGAACACCAGUGGCGAAGGCGCUCUGCUGGACCAUAACUGACACUCAGGGACGAAAGCUAGGGGAGCGAAUGGG